CAAUAGCGUAUAUUAAAGUUGUUGACGGUUAAAAAGCUCGUAGUUGGAUUUCUGCCGAGGACGACCGGUCCGCCCUCUGGGUGAGUAUCUGGCUCGGCCUGGGCAUCUUCUUGGAGAACGUAUCUGCACUUGACUGUGUGGUGCGGUAUCCAGGACUUUUACUUUGAGGAAAUUAGAGUGUUUCAAGCAGGCAUACGCCUUGAAUACAUUAGCAUGGAAUAAUAAGAUAGGACCUCGGUUCUAUUUUGUUGGUUUCUAGAGCUGAGGUAAUGAUUAAUAGGGAGUAGUUGGGGGCAUUCGUAUUCCAUUGUCAGAGGUGAAAUUCUUGGAUUUUUGGAAGACGAACUACUGCGAAAGCAUUUUACCAAGGAUGUUUUCUAUUAAUCAAGAACGAAAGUUAGGGGAUCGAAGAUGAUCAGAUACUAU
This 426-nucleotide ribosomal RNA is filed under the name uncultured eukaryote. Its description in RNAcentral is "SSU rRNA". It matches the Rfam family "Eukaryotic small subunit ribosomal RNA", at positions 592 to 1018 of the family's 1831-position model. The record is from RNAcentral.